GUGGCCGGGAAGCCGCCCGGCCCUGUCCAGGUCUCCCGGGUCCGGUCUCCUGGUCUCUCCGCCACGGACCCCUGAGUCUGCAGAGUCUGCGAGUUCGGGGACAUUUGCCCCAGACACUUCACUGGCUGGGACGUCCCCUUACCUGGUUGAAAGUUAGAGGAAGCUCUGGCACUCAAUGUUGGUAUCUCUGCCUGCUCCUCCCCUCGUUCUUCUUAAAGUCUUCAGCCACACCCAUUUGGGCUUAAGACUCUUGCCUAAUCCUGUAACAGAAGUUUGGCUUCCGUUAGAGGAACUAUGAAAUCAGGUGGGGGUGGGGUCUCUCUAGGCGAGGAGUGGGGCAGUUGAAGACUCCAAGUGCCUAGAAAACUCACAAACGGCUUAUAAUGAUGACCAAGGUCUAACUAUCUUGCCCCCACAGCACCUCUGGCUGUCCGGAUUGGAGGAGCAGCGGUGUGUUUUGAAUGCAGAAAAUUAAACAGUUCCAUUGUCUGGCUGCCUAGGUAACAGAAUAUGAGCGUCGUGGACUGAAUUUUGUGCCUCCUCUCCAAAAAAUAUGUUGGAGUCCUAACCUCCAGCACCCGUGAGUUUGGAAAUGUGAAUGUGAUCUUAUUUGGAAAUGUCUUUGCAGAUGCAAUCAAGUCAAGAUGAGGUCAUUGGGGUGGACUCUUCUAAUGCAUCAGGGCUGGGUCCUUAUAACAAGAGAAAAAUGCACGUGAAGACAAACAUACAGGGGAAUAUGUGAGGACAGAGGCAAAGAUCUGAGUGAUGCUGCAGCAGACCAAGGAAUGCCUCAGUAUUGUCAGCCACCACUGGAAACUGGGAAGAGACAAGGAAGGAUUCUCCCCAACAGAUUUCAGAGGGAGCCUGGUCUGGGCUGACACCUUGAUUUUGGACUUAGAGCCACCCAAAUGAAGGUAACAUAUUUCUG
This 928-nucleotide long non-coding RNA is filed under the name Marmota monax (woodchuck). The record is from RNAcentral. Lineage: Eukaryota; Metazoa; Chordata; Mammalia; Rodentia; Sciuridae.